CAGGCUUAACACAUGCAAGUCGAGGGGUAUAGUUCUUCGGAACUAGAGACCGGCGCACGGGUGCGUAACGCGUAUGCAAUCUACCUUUUACAGAGGGAUAGCCCAGAGAAAUUUGGAUUAAUACCUCAUAGUAUAGCAGUUUCGCAUGAAACCACUAUUAAAGUCACAACGGUAAAAGAUGAGCAUGCGUCCCAUUAGCUAGUUGGUAAGGUAACGGCUUACCAAGGCUACGAUGGGUAGGGGUCCUGAGAGGGAGAUCCCCCACACUGGUACUGAGACACGGACCAGACUCCUACGGGAGGCAGCAGUGAGGAAUAUUGGACAAUGGGCGCAAGCCUGAUCCAGCCAUGCCGCGUGCAGGAUGACGGUCCUAUGGAUUGUAAACUGCUUUUAUACAGGAAGAAACCCUGGUUCGUGAACCAGCUUGACGGUACUGUAAGAAUAAGGAUCGGCUAACUCCGUGCCAGCAGCCGCGGUAAUACGGAGGAUCCAAGCGUUAUCCGGAAUCAUUGGGUUUAAAGGGUCCGUAGGCGGUUUAAUAAGUCAGUGGUGAAAGCCCAUCGCUCAACGGUGGAACGGCCAUUGAUACUGUUAAACUUGAAUUAUUAGGAAGUAACUAGAAUAUGUAGUGUAGCGGUGAAAUGCUUAGAGAUUACAUGGAAUACCAAUUGCGAAGGCAGGUUACUACUAAUAUAUUGACGCUGAUGGACGAAAGCGUGGGUAGCGAACAGGAUUAGAUACCCUGGUAGUCCACGCCGUAAACGAUGGAUACUAGCUGUU
This 780-nucleotide ribosomal RNA is filed under the name Flavobacterium sp. Its description in RNAcentral is "bacterial SSU rRNA". It matches the Rfam family "Bacterial small subunit ribosomal RNA", at positions 43 to 824 of the family's 1533-position model. The record is from RNAcentral. Lineage: Bacteria; Pseudomonadati; Bacteroidota; Flavobacteriia; Flavobacteriales; Flavobacteriaceae.